Molecule: long non-coding RNA, 562 nt
Filed under: Olea europaea subsp. europaea
Lineage: Eukaryota; Viridiplantae; Streptophyta; Magnoliopsida; Lamiales; Oleaceae
Source: RNAcentral
CUAUCACACUUUAUUCAUAAUCACGCUAGCAAAUGCACUUUGAAUGUGUUUUUAUUAUUUUUCCUAUCUUUUCUUUUCUUUAAAAUUUUCGUCCAUAUCUCCAACAAGAGUACCCUUCUGGGGGCAUAAGUAUGAGUCCAGGGCCGGCCUUGGCCUAAGGCCAACUAGGCCAUGGCCUCGGACCUCCAAUUUUUUGGGGGCUCAUAAAUAUCAUUCAACCCACAUAUAUUUACAACCAGCACCAAAGCCUAAAAAAACCUAUGGAUUUUAGCUAGGGAACACUCUGCCGAUGAAGAAUUCCAGGAAAGAAGAGAAUGGUUUCUAAGCCAUUAAGGAAGAAAAUUGAGACUCCAAGGAGUUGUCUGGCCAUGGUUUCUAAGCAAUUUUCUUUGUCUUCAUUCGAGCCCAAGGGAUUGUUUGGCUAUUCAUGUCUUGGAUCUUGAAGAUGGAAGACAUAGUGAAAACUGUUUCUAAGGUCAACUUUGAUCUGUAUAAUUUUUAAUCAAAUUCUUGAUUUUUCUUUUCAUUUUUUGAAUUCUUGCCCUUGAUUCUCUGUUCAUGA